AUGCACGCUGGCGGCGUGCCUAAUACCUGCAAGUCGCGCGAACAGACGAGGAGCUUGCUCCUCUGACGUUAGCGGCGGACGGGUGAGUAACACGUGGAUAACCUACCUAUAAGACUGGGAUAACUUCGGGAAACCGGAGCUAAUACCGGAUAAUAUAUUGAACCGCAUGGUUCAAUAGUGAAAGACGGUUUUGCUGUCACGUAUAGAUGGAUCCGCGCCGCAUUAGCUAGUUGGUAAGGUAACGGCUUACCAAGGCAACGAUGCGUAGCCGACCUGAGAGGGUGAUCGGCCACACUGGAACUGAGACACGGUCCAGACUCCUACGGGAGGCAGCAGUAGGGAAUCUUCCGCAAUGGGCGAAAGCCUGACGGAGCAACGCCGCGUGAGUGAUGAAGGUCUUCGGAUCGUAAAACUCUGUUAUUAGGGAAGAACAAAUGUGUAAGUAACUAUGCACGUCUUGACGGUACCUAAUCAGAAAGCCACGGCUAACUACGUG
Molecule: ribosomal RNA, 496 nt
Filed under: uncultured bacterium
Lineage: Bacteria
Description: partial 16S ribosomal RNA
Rfam family: Bacterial small subunit ribosomal RNA
Source: RNAcentral